GAGUUUGAUCUUGGCUCAGAUUGAACGCUGGCGGCAUGCCUUACACAUGCAAGUCGAACGGCAGCACGGGAGCUUGCUCCUGGUGGCGAGUGGCGAACGGGUGAGUAAUGCAUCGGAACGUAUCCUGGAGUGGGGGAUAACGUAGCGAAAGUUACGCUAAUACCGCAUAUUCUGUGAGCAGGAAAGCGGGGGACCUUCGGGCCUCGCGCUCUUGGAGCGGCCGAUGUCGGAUUAGCUAGUUGGUGAGGUAAAGGCUCACCAAGGCGACGAUCCGUAGCAGGUCUGAGAGGAUGAUCUGCCACACUGGAACUGAGACACGGUCCAGACUCCUACGGGAGGCAGCAGUGGGAUUUUGGACAAUGGGGGCAACCCUGAUCCAGCCAUGCCGCGUGAGUGAAGAAGGCCUCGG
This 409-nucleotide ribosomal RNA is filed under the name bacterium enrichment culture clone ALO1_GLFRUDD03HCJM2. RNAcentral's name for it is "bacterial SSU rRNA". It matches the Rfam family "Bacterial small subunit ribosomal RNA", at positions 9 to 420 of the family's 1533-position model. The record is from RNAcentral.